GAUGAACGCUAGCUACAGGCUUAACACAUGCAAGUCGAGGGGAAACGGCAUUAAGUGCUUGCACUCUUUGGACGUCGACCGGCGCACGGGUGAGUAACGCGUAUCCAACCUUCCCAUGACUAAGGGAUAACCUGCCGAAAGGCAGACUAAUACCUUAUGGUCUUCACUGACGGCAUCAGAUGUGAAGUAAAGAUUUAUCGGUUAUGGAUGGGGAUGCGUCUGAUUAGCUUGUUGGCGGGGUAACGGCCCACCAAGGCAACGAUCAGUAGGGGUUCUGAGAGGAACGUCCCCCACAGUGGAACUGAGACACGGUCCAAACUCCUACGGGAGGCAGCAGUGAGGAAUAUUGGUCAAUGGGCGAGUGCCUGAACCAGCCAAGUAGCGUGCAGGAUGACGGCCCUAUGGGUUGUAAACUGCUUUUGUAUGGGGAUAAAGUCAAUCACGUGUGAUUGUUUGCAGGUACCAUACGAAUAAGGACCGGCUAAUUCCGUG
This 492-nucleotide ribosomal RNA is filed under the name uncultured bacterium. RNAcentral's name for it is "partial 16S ribosomal RNA". It matches the Rfam family "Bacterial small subunit ribosomal RNA", at positions 28 to 507 of the family's 1533-position model. The record is from RNAcentral.